AGAAAUUUGCUACUCGAGCUGUAACUACUCAAGCAUUGACCCUUUUAGUGUUUUGUUUACUUUUUGAGGUUUAUCAUCAGGUCUGUACAUGCCCUGUUUUGCAUAAUGCUUCCCAUGCUUUGCUUGAUCCGUUGUUAUGCUGCUUCUAAGCCAAAUGUUCUUAUAUUAUUGGCCCUCCUCUUAAAUUUUGUCACUUUGAAUGUAUAACUGAGUGGUAAUUAAUUGCAAGGUGAUACCAUUAUGAUAAAACUGAAUUUGGAAUAUCUAAUUUAUGCCACUUUAAAUGUAUAACAAUUUAGAACAAAUUUCUUCUUGCAAGAAUGGUUAGAAUAACUGAAUUAUGGUAAAAUUGAUAAUGUGUCGUUGUGAAUGCCGGACUAAGACAUCUCCGACUGGGGCACUUAUGCCCUUCUUAUUCCUCUGUUUCGCACUCUCUAUCGGUAGCUCACUAUAUGCCAUUCAUAUUCCAGGACCUAUUAGGAUACAAAGUUGAUGCUCCAACCAUUAUUUCACUUUCUAAUAUUUUCUUUGCAUCUCUGUUGUCACUUGGUCUAGCCAGUACUUCACUGUGUUUACGUCAAUAGGUCUUUCAGUGAUUGAACAAUUCUUGGUUAAACCCAUAUAUUCAUUUGGCCAUUAUAUCUAUUUGCCUAAAGAUGGUAUGUAUUUGAGUUUAAAGAGCCAGUACAAUAACAAAGUUAUCUCAGUUCUCGAAAGUUAAAUGGACCUUGAACCAUUUGAUCCUAUUUCCGUGGACAAAUUUAUGUUGUGGAACUUGAUGGGGUCAAAUCCAUGUGCCUCCAAAUCAUGCAUUGAAGAUUUAGGGUGGGGUCAAUGCUAUCGUUAGUAGGCAAAGGGCAUUAGUAUGUGUGUGGCGGGAAUGUUUAGACAAUAACUACCAAGAAGAAAGAACUUCUCAGGUUUUCAUCACCUGUGUGAUUAUUAAAAGUGCUCUCCUUGGUUAAUUUUUCUGGCCUCCGGGAGUCAUUUCUGAAUUUAACUACAUUCGUAGGGAUUGCCAUACAAAUUAUGAUAGUUUCAAAAUGACUUCAUCUCCUUAAUCCCAACAUAUCAAUAGAGAAAAAAAUUACCCAGUGGUGUAGUGUGGCUAAUCAAUUGUAGGUGGUUUAAAAGCCCUUGAUGGUAUUGGUGCACCCCUAUGUACUUGACAAUUCCUUCCUCGUUUUUCUCUGUAACACCAUUAGUUCAUUUAUAUGGCAGUGGUAAUUCAAGGAGACGACAAAUGUUAUUGCAUAGUCUACAUUAAAUAUGUCAAAAAGCGUUACUUCAAUGGUCUCAACUGCAUAGACAGUUAUAUUUGGCACAACGGAGGUAUAUAUUUUAACGUACUUUUAUGGUCUCUUUACGUGCCUACAAAAAACCUGGCGAUGGCUACUAUAUUGUUUACGUUGCCACAUAAUUACCGAUGGAUCAUGUCUAUUUCCUGUUUACGUCGCCACAUAAUUACCAAUUUAUUACAUUAGGCAAACUCUUCUACCCGUGACGAGAUUGGUUCAGUUCUUCGUACCUCAACAUUCCUUGCAUGUGUUUCAAGCCUAGACUCAUUGACGCAGGGGGCUCGGUGUCACGUCUGGUGGCCAAGCACGAAGUCAAAGCUACACAUGCUGCUAAUGGUUGGAGCUAUAUGGCAGCCAACAAGUUCAUCAAUAUCUCUAUUACGGCCAUCGCUAUCUUCCAUUUCACAAUAUGUGCUUUCUUAUAAUGUUAUCAUGCAGAUGCCAAUUCAUUUCUCUGUCCAUAUAUCUUUGAGAAGGUCGACAUAGCUGUUUGUUUGAGGCUCAACGUGAUACCAGCCUUUGAUUCAAGCUUUGCUUUUUGUUUUCCCAGGAGCCUUAGCUUUUAGUGUUAUUAAUUUAUCAUGGAUGUUUGUUUUGUGUUCUUCACAUUCCAUGGACUACAAAGAAUAUGUGUUAUUCCAUUUAUAGUCGUUUGGUACAUCUAAAGUGGAGACCAGUGAAACAUAUAUAUGCAUUUGUUCA
This is a non-coding RNA of Lolium perenne, 2000 nucleotides long. The record is from RefSeq and is a predicted model, not a curated record. Lineage: Eukaryota; Viridiplantae; Streptophyta; Magnoliopsida; Poales; Poaceae.